Molecule: ribosomal RNA, 775 nt
Filed under: uncultured Pseudomonadota bacterium
Lineage: Bacteria; Pseudomonadati; Pseudomonadota
Description: bacterial SSU rRNA
Rfam family: Bacterial small subunit ribosomal RNA
Source: RNAcentral
AAAGGGGGCGUAGGUGGCUUUGUAAGUCAGAAGUGAAAGCCCUGGGCUCAACCCGGGAAGUGCUUUUGAUACUGCGAAGCUUGAAUGUGGUAGAGGAUAGUAGAAUUCCAGGUGUAGUGGUGAAAUACGUAGAUAUCUGGAGGAAUACCAGUGGCGAAGGCGGCUAUCUGGACCAACAUUGACACUGAGGCCCGAAAGCGUGGGGAUCAAACAGGAUUAGAUACCCUGGUAGUCCACGCCGUAAACGAUGGAUACUUGUUGUUGGUGGUAUUGACCCCAUCAGUGACGAAGCAAACGCGUUAAGUAUCCCGCCUGGGGAGUACGGUCGCAAGAUUAAAACUCAAAGAAAUUGACGGGGGCCCGCACAAGCGGUGGAGCAUGUGGUUUAAUUCGAUGCAACGCGAAGAACCUUACCUGGGUUUGACAUCUACUGGAAGACUCUCAGAAAUGAGGUCGCCUUCGGGCCGGUAGACAGGUGCUGCAUGGCUGUCGUCAGCUCGUGUCGUGAGAUGUUGGGUUAAGUCCCGCAACGAGCGCAACCCUCGUGUUUAGUUGCCAGCAUUCAGUUGGGCACUCUAAACAGACUGCCGACGUUAAGUCGGAGGAAGGUGGGGAUGACGUCAAGUCCUCAUGGCCUUUAUAUCCAGGGCUACACACGUGCUACAAUGGUCGGUACAGAGGGAAGCCAAAUAGUAAUAUGGAGCCAAUCCCUUAAAGCCGAUCUAAGUUCAGAUUGAGGUCUGCAACUCGACCUCAUGAAGGUGGAAUCGCUAGU